Molecule: ribosomal RNA, 406 nt
Filed under: uncultured bacterium
Lineage: Bacteria
Description: partial 16S ribosomal RNA
Rfam family: Bacterial small subunit ribosomal RNA
Source: RNAcentral
AUUGAACGCUGGCGGCAGGCCUAACACAUGCAAGUCGAGCGAGCGGCGGACGGGUGCGUAAUGUAUGGGGCUCUGCCCGAUGGAGGGGGAUAACUACUGGAAACGGUGGCUAAUACCGCAUACUAUCGGAUGAACCCAUAUGGGAUUAGCUAGUAGGUGGGGUAAAGGCUCACCUAGGCGACGAUCUCUAGCUGGGCUGAGAGGAUGAUAAGCCAACAUGGAACUGGGAAACGGCCCAGACGCCUACGGGAGGCAGCAGUGGGGAAUAGUGCACAAUGGGAGCAAGCCUGAUGCAGCAAUGCCGCGUGUAUGAAGAAGGCCUUCGGGGUGUAAAGUACUUUCAGCGGGGAGGCGUUACCCGCAGAAGAAGCACCGGCUAACUCCGUGCCAGCAGCCGCGGUAAUUC